CCAGCAUACCUGAUUCUCAUCGUCAAUUUCAUUUCUUCUAUUGUGUCUUUCCACAGAGGCUGUUCUGUAGGAAACUGUUCCACUCUCCUUUUCCAGCAGAGGAGACAGGUCACCAAACAAGAUUCUACCAACAAAAAGGUGUUGGUUUCUUUUCCCAUCUCUCAUCUUCUUUUUCCCAAGGACCUUCAGUUGCCAUUUCUACUUUUUUAAUUUUUGUUUUUGGCAUGAUUCAUCAGAGGCCAAAACGAGAGUGAAAAUGUGUUUCAAAACAGCCCAGACAGUGGAUUUGUAAAGGCAUAGCUUUGUUUCUUUCAAAGCACAGUUCAUUUUUUUCUAAAGGGUGAUCUGUGCAGCACACUCCUCCCAGAGGAUAAUAGAAAUGGAAGAUGACUGGGGAUUGUUCCUGGCUCUUUUCCAAGAAGUACUUUGCUUCAUUUGGCUGCCUUCUUGAGAGCUGGAUAAAGAUAGUAUGCAGAGACAGAAAUCACAAAGGUAAUUUUAUUUAACCAAUAAACAUCAUUCUGUGUUCCAGAGAGCUUGCUACUACUCGCUUUUGCUUCUCAACAGCAGUGCUGGUACUCAUUUACUUUAAUUCCCAUCAAUAACAUCCACUCUUUCACUGGCAUCUUGUUUUUCUGUCCUGGUCCUCUUGUCAUUUCCUCUGCUUGCUCCUGCAGAUUCCCAGUGUGAUGGCACAGUGUGACAGUCUGUUUUAUUCACAGCCUCCUCGAUGGUAGGAAUGUUGGCACCCUGUGAAGCACAAGCUCAGAGCAAGGCGCUGCACUUCAGUCCCAGCAGCGUGGAGUGCUUCCCUAAUCUUCCCAGCCCUCCUCCCAUCCGCAGGGCCAGCCUGCCGCUCAGCCUAGCCUUUGACCCCCACAGCCACAUUGUUCCCCUGAUGCUGGACACGCCCAGCAGUGAAUGCAGCAUGGCCAGUCAGGAAAAUGGCUCCACAGAAUCCUUCUCUUACAGCGACCAGAAUCAAGGCUUCAGUUCACCAGCUUCCUGCCCUUGUCUGGAGAAGCUGGAGCCUGCAGACAACCUGGAGGCCACCUACUUUCAGUACAGCAGCCAGGGGGGAAUCUAUCAGCUCUCCCAGUUGUGUCACCAAGGUCACCGGGCCGGCAAUAUGUUCUCCAGUGACCACCUUCCUCCUCCAACACCCCUAGAGUCCCAUCCAGCUUUCCCUGACUUACCUGGCAACAGUGGAGCCAUAACCUACGGAGCCACACAAGGCUAUGUGUGGCCAGUCAUGCCACAGCAGCCAAGUGACAAUUCAGCAGAUAUCCCUGCCUAUCCAGCUGUGCCCUGGAGUGAUUUCUACGUGCAGGGAGCUCCUUUCUCCGAUCAGUUGCAUUCCCAAAUGACUUUUUCUAGCAUGGCAGGAGGGCAGUACUUCACAGAGCCGUAUCUCCCUCAAGUGCCGAACAGAACAGUACUGGAAUUCAUGCCACAGACUGGAAGACAAAAGGGAGUGACACCACCAGAGCCAAGUUCCUACCAGAGCUACCAAACAGAGGCAGAGUUGGCAGCACUCGCUGAAAAAGAGGACUUAGAGAGGAGCGGCAAGAAAGGAGAGACUGGUUGGUAACCAGCUAGAUGUUUUCUUGGGGAAGGAGGAGGGGAAAAAGUUCCAAGGCAGCAGUAGGUCCCCUGAAUGCAGGAUGAAAACUGUGGCAUAUUUUUUGUGAGCUGCUGCCUGAGACAGUUGCCAUGAUGUUACACCUAUCUUAUACCUAGUUCUUAGAUCCAUCUGUUUUUUCAAAUGGAGACAGAAGAGUCAGUAAAACAGGUGGCAAAGUUCUGUAUUUUCUCAGAAAUCAUCUGCUGUGAGCUGUAUGCCUAGACAAAACUGAUUAUUUCUAAGACUUCCAGAGGCAUGAACACUUCUCUUCAAGGCAAAACUUCACCGAGAAGGGGAAGGGAGGGUUUUCUGUUUGGAUUCUCAGGCUUUUAUCUUGGAAACAGAAUUACCUUAUUCUAGAAUUGUUGAAAGGUGUCAUAUAUGCCAUAAAUAUUCUUUGAAAGGGUGUCUUUGUGGGGGAUGCAUAUCUAAUUUUGAGAUAUGAAACAUUUGAAAAAUUCAAGGUAUUUUGUGUCACAUUUUCUUAUGAAUCUGGGUUUUUUUUCAGAAACUGAAGAAGAAACUUAUGACUGAAGCGGCACUCUGAGAAAAAAAGGAAGAGGAAAAAUUGCUAUUUUAAACUCUGCAAAACAAGAGUCAAAAAGAGACAAGGAUAUUAUUAUUUGCAACAGAUGCACUUUUUAAUUUAUUUUUUUGGUUGUAUUUUUUUUUUCUUGUUGCCAUGAUUAUUUUCUUGCUGAAGAAAGAAGCAGGGGUAUUUCACUCAAUCAGAGUUCCUGCCCUGUCUUUUUUUUUUUUUUUUUUUUUUUUUUUUUUUUUUUUUUUUUUUUUUUGCAAAUCUCCUGGCUUUAUUCUUCUUAACAAAUUCUAAUAAAUUCUAAUCUUGACCAGCCCUCA
Molecule: long non-coding RNA, 2482 nt
Organism: Junco hyemalis (dark-eyed junco)
Lineage: Eukaryota; Metazoa; Chordata; Aves; Passeriformes; Passerellidae
Source: Ensembl